RNAcentral lists this ribosomal RNA (226 nucleotides) under uncultured bacterium. Its description in RNAcentral is "partial 16S ribosomal RNA". It matches the Rfam family "Bacterial small subunit ribosomal RNA", at positions 538 to 762 of the family's 1533-position model. The record is from RNAcentral.
GCGUUGUCCGGAUUUACUGGGCGUAAAGGGCGCGCAGGUGGCUUGUUGGGUUCGUCGUGAAAGCCCGGGGCUCAACUUCGGGUGGUCGGCGGAGACCGGCGGGCUUGGAGGCUGGUAGAGGGAUGCGGAAUUCCCGGUGUAGUGGUGAAAUGCGUAGAGAUCGGGAGGAACACCAGAGGCGAAAGCGGCAUCCUGGGCCAGAACUGACGCUGAGGCGCGAAAGCGU